Dromiciops gliroides (monito del monte) is the source of this 726-nucleotide long non-coding RNA. RefSeq lists it as uncharacterized. The record is from RefSeq and is a predicted model, not a curated record. Lineage: Eukaryota; Metazoa; Chordata; Mammalia; Microbiotheria; Microbiotheriidae. The transcript has 4 exons.
CAUGUCUUCAAGGAGGAGGCGAGCGUGAAGGGCUCCGAGGCCUCGAGGCCUCACGAGCCAAGGAAAUCCUCUAAGUUUUUCUUUUGAAGUCAGCCCAGAAGGGAUAGGAACCCACAAGAAAGUCUGAAAACAGAAAGAAUUAAAUUCGCAUGACAAAAAACUGAGAGUCAUCUGAAGAGAUCAAUAUGGAUGCCCAGGGAAUGUUACGAUAUAUUUACAGAAGGUGGAAAGGAGGGCAGAAUGAUCUUUAUCCUGGAAGUGACAGAAGAAAAAUGAUUAACAGGGUUUUGGUAACCUGUGUGAGCAAAGAGACAUUUGGCAGUCCCACCCCAUUGAUGAGUUCGUGUGAUCUGACCCGGAUGAACUAAUUCCCAGGUUUACCUGCACCACUCGUGAUUAAGAAAACAUUAGGGAGUUAGUAACUGCCUCAAGUUACACCAAGCAUGGACAUUGAGAGGGUGAAGGUCACUUCUCCAAGUCACUGGACAUUUUUAUUGAACUGAAUUGUGGAAGAUAAAUAGACUAUGGGUUGUUCUAUCCCCGGAUUUUUUUAAAAAGAAAACACAGCAAACUCUUCAUUGCUCUUACAGAAUUUUUUACAGUCCUUGUGAAUGCCCUUCAGGUCAGCCAACCUGAAGGGAUAAAACCUUGCCCUGGGGGUCGUUUGGGAGCUAUGAACGACUGGAUUACUUGGUCAGUUUUGUUUGCUGGCAAGCACGGAAACCC